AAUGAGCGCUGGCGGCGUGCCUAAAACAUGCAAGUCGUGCGGUAACAGGUCCUUCGGGAUGCUGACGAGCGGCGGACGGCUGAGUAACGCGUGGGAACGUGCCCCAAAGUGAGGAAUAACUGCCCGAAAGGGUGGCUAAUGCCGCAUAUGGUCUUCGGAUUAAAAGGAUUUAUCCGCUUUGGGAGCGGCCCGCGUAAGAUUAGAUAGUUGGUGAGGUAAUGGCUCACCAAGUCGACGAUCUUUAACUGGUUUGAGAAGAUGAUCAGUCAGACUGGAACUGAGAAACGGUCCAGACUCCUACGGGAGGCUG
RNAcentral lists this ribosomal RNA (310 nucleotides) under uncultured Candidatus Saccharibacteria bacterium. RNAcentral's name for it is "bacterial SSU rRNA". It matches the Rfam family "Bacterial small subunit ribosomal RNA", at positions 29 to 351 of the family's 1533-position model. The record is from RNAcentral. Lineage: Bacteria; Candidatus Saccharimonadota.